Molecule: microRNA precursor, 94 nt
Filed under: Canis lupus familiaris (dog)
Lineage: Eukaryota; Metazoa; Chordata; Mammalia; Carnivora; Canidae
Description: mir-8799 microRNA precursor family
Rfam family: mir-8799 microRNA precursor family
Source: Rfam by way of RNAcentral
GGUGGGAGCUCCGGAUCCUGGGCUGUGUCCCCCAGCGCUCUGAUCUCCGGGCCCUGCGCCGUUGGAAUUCCACUCCCUGGCCGCGCAGCCCACU